Molecule: transfer RNA, 68 nt
Filed under: Trichonephila inaurata madagascariensis
Lineage: Eukaryota; Metazoa; Arthropoda; Arachnida; Araneae; Nephilidae
Description: tRNA-Thr
Source: RNAcentral
GCCAGUAUGGUGGCUAUAACCCUCGGUUUGUAACCGAGUUGGUUCGGGUUCGAAUCCCGAGUAAGACA